Molecule: antisense RNA, 75 nt
Filed under: Streptomyces sp. CB00316
Lineage: Bacteria; Bacillati; Actinomycetota; Actinomycetes; Kitasatosporales; Streptomycetaceae
Also listed under: 2 other names
Description: ASpks sRNA
Rfam family: ASpks TB sRNA
Source: RNAcentral
CUUCACCGAGCCGAGCAGCAGCGAGCGCUCCGGGUCACGGUCCCGGCCGUACGUGGCGAGCAGGGCCUGCGCCUC